Molecule: ribosomal RNA, 362 nt
Filed under: Calyptraeotheres garthi
Lineage: Eukaryota; Metazoa; Arthropoda; Malacostraca; Decapoda; Pinnotheridae
Description: partial 12S ribosomal RNA
Source: RNAcentral
UAUUAUUCCAAGAUAAAUAAAUUUCUAGGUUAGUAAUAGAUAUUUACUUAAAAGCUAAAAAAUUUGGCGGUAAUUUAAUCUUUUCAGAGGAACUUGUUUUUUAAUCGAUAAUCCCCGAAAUAUCUUACUUACUUUGUAGAAAGUUUGUAUACCAUCAUUAACAGAUAAUUUUUAAAAAAUAAAUUAUUAAAAAUAAAAGAUUAUAAAAAUUAGAUCAAGGUGCAGCUAAUAGGUAAGUUAAAAUGAGUUACAAUAAAUUUUUUUAUAUGGAUAAGUAAUUUCAAAAUUAUUUAGAAGGAGGAUUUGGUUGUAUUUUAAGUUUAAUAAGCUUAUAAGAUGAUAGCUCUAAAUUAUGUACAUAU